Molecule: ribosomal RNA, 129 nt
Filed under: Prolemur simus (greater bamboo lemur)
Lineage: Eukaryota; Metazoa; Chordata; Mammalia; Primates; Lemuridae
Source: RNAcentral
GCUAGAAACAAGAGAGAAUAUACUCAAUGCCAAAACAUUGAGAUGGAGCUGAUCUUGGAAGCCAAGCAGAGUUGGGCCUGGUUAGUACCUGGAUGGGAGACUGCCUGAGAAUACUGGAUGUUGUAGGCU